GUGAAUCAUCAAAUCUUUGAACGCAAAUUGCACUCUCUUCGGAGAGUAUGCCUGUUUGAGGGUCAGCCUAAAAAAAAUCGACGUAGUCGCUGUUUCGCGGUGACAUUCGUCGGAAAUUGGGUCAUCUUAAACCUUUGGGUUUUUUAAGCGGCUUAAAAUUUUCUUUACGAUUCAAGAAACGUUUCAAAGAUUUUCUUUCUAACACCCGUUUAGGUAAC
RNAcentral lists this unclassified non-coding RNA (218 nucleotides) under Glomus sp. Its description in RNAcentral is "partial contains 5.8S ribosomal RNA and internal transcribed spacer 2". The stretch from base 1 to 65 matches the Rfam family "5.8S ribosomal RNA", at positions 84 to 154 of the family's 154-position model. The record is from RNAcentral. Lineage: Eukaryota; Fungi; Glomeromycota; Glomeromycetes; Glomerales; Glomeraceae.